RNAcentral lists this small nuclear RNA (103 nucleotides) under Thalictrum thalictroides. The record is from RNAcentral. Lineage: Eukaryota; Viridiplantae; Streptophyta; Magnoliopsida; Ranunculales; Ranunculaceae.
GUCCCUUCGGGGACAUUCAAUAAAAUUGGAACGAUACAGAGAAAAUUAGCAUGGCCCCUGCGCAAGGAUGACACGAACAAAUUGAGACAUGGUCCAAAUUUUU